Molecule: ribosomal RNA, 472 nt
Filed under: uncultured bacterium
Lineage: Bacteria
Description: bacterial SSU rRNA
Rfam family: Bacterial small subunit ribosomal RNA
Source: RNAcentral
UGGGGAAUAUUGGACAAUGGGGGCAACCCUGAUCCAGCAAUGCCGCGUGUGUGAAGAAGGCCUGCGGGUUGUAAAGCACUUUGGUGGGGGAAGAAGGCUUUCUGGAUAAUACCCAGGAGGAUUGACACUACCCCAAGAACAAGCACCGGCUAACUCUGUGCCAGCAGCCGCGGUAAUACAGAGGGUGCAAGCGUUAAUCGGAAUGACUGGGCGUAAAGGGCGCGUAGGUGGUUGCCUAAGUUAGAUGUGAAAGCCCCGGGCUUAACCUGGGAAUUGCAUCUAAUACUGGGUAACUUGAGUAGAGUAGAGGGGAGUGGAAUUUCCGGUGUAGCGGUGGAAUGCGUAGAUAUCGGAAGGAACACCAGUGGCGAAGGCGGCUCCCUGGACUCAUACUGACACUGAAGCGCGAAAGCGUGGGGAGCAAACAGGAUUAGAUACCCCCGUAGUCCCUGAGCGGGCUGGCAAGGCGCAU